CCCGGGAUCCCAGACUCUGUAGUUUCAUUGUCUCUUCUGCCCACCAGCGAGACUCGACCCCAGGAAUCAACAUCUGCCACGAUAGGAUCACAGGAAUCCUGGUUAAUGUUUGCUGCUAAUGACCCUCCUUAGCUCUGAUUGGUUGGCUUGAGUCAAGGACGCGCGCCUCGCCAAUGAAUGGACUCUGCUGAUUGGGUACUUGUGGGGGAGGUGCCCAACUGAAUGGUGGGAGGGGCCAGUGCCAUCCAAUCCACAUCGAGAGGCAGGGAGGGCCUUGCCAAUCAAGGGGCUCUUCGCAGAGGCGGUGAGAACAGAGACUUCCCUUAAUCCAGGGUUUUAAGGAAAUUGGCGCAUUAGUUGUUCCUCCAACCACCCUUAAGCACAGAGAGGCUGAGACGCUUGCCCAAGGUCACGUAGCUCCUAAGUGACCGCGCUGGAAUUUGAACCGUGAAAGGCUGAUUCCAGGGUCUGUGUUUUCAGCUGUAGCGUUACGCUGCCUCUCAGGAUAAAGUGCAGAGCUUAAAUCAACAGAUCCUGUUUGGUAGUGGAGUCCGGGAGGAAGUGGGGGGAAAGAGAGCCGGAACAAGGACGCUUGACCCUCACCUAACUGUGCAAAGGUGGCGAAGCUUGGCUGGCACCUGCAGUUUGACCUUGGCUCUGUGGUUACCAGUGGUGGGACCACCACAGGGUCUGAAGAAACACGUCAUAAUCAUGCCUGGUGCAGCCCCAGCUGCUGCCCGUCAGGUCGGCAUGGGGCACCCGUUUGGGGCAGUAUCUGUGACAAGUUCAAGUGCCUUUUUGAGGACACAUCUUACCAAGGACCUUGGGGUCAAUAGCCCAGACUUCCUGAUUCUCUCUGUGUGUGUUGGGGGUGUAUGAUGAUUCAGAAUCUACGAAUCUACUAUUGUUAGCAUUCGUUGCCCUGAAAGAUUUCUCUUGCCUUAAUGUACUUUUCUUGUGGCUUAAAAUUUCCGUGAGAUGUCCCUAAGCCAGCACUUUUAAGCCCAGGUGUCCUUUUGGUGGCCUUGGUGAAGUCCAUCCUGGAAAUAACUCCAGGACCAACCUUUCUUAUUUCGCUUCUUUCCUCUCUCUUCUCCCUCUCCCUCCACCAUCUGGCCUUGAAUGAGCCUGUAUUUUGCAUUUUCUGUUUGUCAGGCCCCGUGUGAACAUCCCCAGGAGAGAAAAUGAAUUCCCAGGACUUGUCCUCACCUUAACGGAGCUCCCAGUGUUUUAGAGCAGACAGAUGUGCCGUCAUCACAUAGUGGGGGCGCUCGAGGGAAGGAGGAAGGGACGUCAUCCCCUUCGGGAGGACUUUGACACGCAGACGUGAGAGCUUGCGGGUGGGAUGGGGAAGGGCAUCCUAGGCAGAGGCAAGUGCAGAGGUGUGGAGAAGUCCACGUCCAUGAACGAUAGAUGGUUUGGUUGUCCAUAUGGUGGGUCGUGGGGGUUGAGACAGGAGGCAUGGGCAGAACUCACCCAGGCCACGGAGGGUUUGUCAUGGCAGAAGGAGGACAUGUGAGUGGUCUAGGACCAAGAGAGCACAGGACUAGGAGUCCAGAGAGGUGGUCCAGCUUCUUAAGGGUUUGAGGAGGACUUAGUGAGUCAUCGUUGCACUUGGAGCCUCUGUCUUCUCAUCUGUGAGACCAGAGGCUUGUUUUGCUGGCCUGUAAGGCAUUUUCUGACUCAAACAUUUGAUGUAUUUCAGUGACAUUCCUUCCCUUGUCCUCCCUGGAAUCUCUCCCCUCUGUACAAUCCUGAGAAAAUCUCGGCCCCCAGACCCUAGCUGGCUCAGAGAUAAAUUGAUCGUCCUGACCCUGCCGUGGUGUAAUUAUGAAAGCCUGCUGUAAUUAUCAAAACAUCACUCCAAGUAUUUCAUUAUUAAAAUACCCCUAUGGCCUAUUAUUAAUUCAUUAGAUAAAUUUGGAUUAUAUCACUCAAUAAUUAAUGCGCAGGCAUGGAUCUGGGGAACUGGGCCACUUUGAGUCACGUGUCAACUGCCGGAAGCAAUGGAAGGCUGGGAGACUGAGGAGGGGGGCGGGGGGAGAGAAUGGAACGAGCAAGAGGAAAAACAGAGGCUCUGGACAGUUGAUGACCAGCUGCCCUGAGACAUCCACUUAACCAUUAGUUCAAUAAACAUGGGUUGCUUGCUACAAACUCAGAGCUUUGAGUACCUUACCAUCCAAACAUUAACUAUUAUAAGAUGAUUGCUGGAGUUUUCUUUCAUCUAUUUAUACUUUCGUUCACCCAUCUAUCCAUCCAUCUAUCCAUCCGUCCAUUCAUCCGUCCUCUGUCCAUACAUCUACCUAUCCAGUAUUCAUCUAUUUAUUGAGAACUUUCUAUAUUCCAACCAUGGAAAGCACGUGAAGGAACAAAAUAUGGCCUCUGCUCUCAGGAAGCUCACCUUCAGUGUGGGGACAGGGAACAGACAUGCGGACCAGUGCUUAUAAUAGUGUGAUACAUGUUUUGAUGGGGGAAGGCAGGGGGCUCUGGGAGCCUGACUUUGCUUUGAGGGGAGGGGUAGGAGUCAGGAAAGUUUCCAGAAGACCAGCUGGUUAGCUGAGGCAGAAGUGGGUAGAUUAGGACUUGGGGCAGCAAAGCCAGAAGAAACAGCUUAUGGACGCUGAGACUGGAAAUGACUCAGGGUGGCCUGGGGUGCUUGGCGUGUGGAGACCUGCCUGCUGAGGUCAGCGGAGUCACAUAUGGAAGCUUCUCGGCCUUGUUAGCUUUUUAGAUUCCGUUUUGAGAAUGAUGGGUGUUAAGCAGAGAGUGAAGUGAUCAGGUUUGUGCUUUGAAAAUGUUUCUCCAGCUGGAGUGUGGAGAAUCGACUGGAAGGGGCGUGGCUGGAGGCAGAGAAGCUGGGGAGAAGGUGGAGUCGAGCGGGCGUCUGUGUGAACAGUAAGGUGGCCUUUGCUCAAGUGCUGUCAGGGGACAGAGGGAAGGAGCUGGGUUGAGGAGUUAGCAUCCUGGCUAACCGGGUGAAGGAGAGGGAGUGUCGGGGGUGACGCCCAGCAUGGCCUAAGCUGGACGGUUCAGUUCAGAUCAGCAAGGUUUCAAGAGGGCCCGGGUGCUGGGAUCUGUGCAGGGAGCUAGUGGUCCCCAACUUGACAAUUCAGGGGUAUACGGAGAUCUCACUGCGGGGCGUCUGCAGGGCAGGGCAUGCCAUGGGGCAAGCUGGGUGCUGAGGCUGUAGAGGGCAGCAUCGGUCAUAUCAAUGAAGGUCUCAAUAGUCAGGCCAAGGAGAUUAGAUGCUUCUUGAGAGCAUCGGGAGCCAUGGGGGGAUUUGCAGCCAGAAACUGGCAUGCCUAGAAGCCAGAUGAAGUGAGAUGGAUAGUUCUGGUUACCAUGCUAAGGGUGAGCUGGAAGAGGUAAGCCCAGAGGCCAGGACCUAGUGAGGAAAGUACUGCAGGCAUGUAGGGGAGAGGUUGAAUGGGCCUCUCGGGAAAGCAUGGCUCCUCCACGUACUUGCUGUGUGACCUUGAGCAAGUUGCCUAACCUCUCUGUGCCUCUGGAAAAUAGAGAUCGUACUAGUUCCCAUCUUACAUGGUCGUCAUGAGGAUUAGAUGAGCAAAGACAGGAAAAGUGCUUGGAACAGGGCCUAAUACAUAACGGCCUGUUAGGGAUGGUGAUGGCCUUUGACCUCUCGGGACUCAGUUUCCUUGCCUGUACAGCAUAGAUCACAGCUAUGCCUGCGUCCGAUCCCUCCUUGUCUGGGAUGAAACGAUUUGAUAUACACAGUGUGCCUGAACAGGGUCUGGCCCGAGUGGCCGUGGAAUUUGUGGGGCCAGCUGCAUCAUGAAAACGCGAGCCCUCUUGUUCAAAAAUGAUGAAGGAUUUCAAGACGGCAGCAGAGGCACCAGGAGAAAGUUCCAGGCCAAGGUAACGGCUCGUGUGAAGGCUUCCAUGGAGCCUGGAACAGAAAAUCUGAGACGGGGGAUCGUCUCCAAGAUCCCAAACCUGAAGCUGCCAUAUCCCAGGACAUCUGCAGGACGCCUCGGAUGGAGCCCUUGCCUUAAGGACCCUCCUCCCCAACUUUGGGUGGGGGGCCCAGAUGGCCCAGAUGCGACCCUUUCUGGGCCCGAGCCCCGCGCCGGCUUUUCCAAGGACGCGCAGCCUGUGACGGGCAGAGCCUGAGACGAAGCUAGCGCUCAGGGCUCCAUCGGGACCCCGGCCGACUUGGGGCGCUCCCCAGAUGACCGGGAAUGGAAAUAAUUCAAAGGAAUUUUUUUCAAAAGCGAGCUGGCCGGCCACUUCUGUCACUAGCAUGCUUCAGAGAGCAUCUAUGGGGGGCAAUUAGAGAGGAAUAGGUCGAUAAAACCCGGCAUUUCCCUGUUAGCUUUUAAGAGUUUUGCACAACAUAUUUUAUGUGUGUUUAUAGAAAAAAAAAAAUCCCAGACCCAAAUUGAUUGAAAAAAUGUGUUGUUAUUGAAAGGGCUGAGUUGUCCUCUCCACAGAGUGUGGUGCUCGGCAAGACUUGGAAGGGGAAGGUUUCACAUAAAUAGUUGUGCCGAGUUGUUAUGGCAACUGAAAUUUGAAAAGUAAAUAGGUUUGGGGGAAAUAUUUUUCCUUGUCUCUGGAGGAGUUUUCUGCCGGGGAUCGUUUGCAAAAGGAGGAGUUAACCCAGCACCCAGUGGGCUGGGUGUAUGUUGUUGAAGGACAGAGAUGGGGUGUUCCCUGUACCGGGGGACUCUGUGUGGAUUCAUCAAGUUCUCUCCUUUCCCUGAAACGGGGGUUGAGAUGGGUUGGCACGGUCUGGGUCUUGCAGGCUGUGUGACCUUGGCCAAGUGACUUGCCCUCUCUGGGCCUCUGCUUUCCUGUCUAUUGAAUGGUUUGUUUGAGACGGACAAUCACGGGGGCGCCGGGCUGGCGCAGUCGCUUGGGCGUCCGACUCUUGAUCUGGGCUCAGGUCAUGAACUUGGUUUGUGAGUUCGAGCCCCGCAUCGGGCUCCACGCUGAUGGCGCAGAGCCUGCUUGGGAUUCUGUCUCUCCUUCUCUCUGCCCCUCCCCUGCUUGUCCCCUCUGUGUGGUGGGAACUCCGUGUUCCAGACAGGAAAGCGCUUCUUGGCUUUGGACAAGGCUGUGAUGAAGAAUAAGCACUAUCGCGUGUUGGCCUCUUUGGGGAAGAGCUGUCUGUGCCCAACGGCGUUUGAGCCUCACAGUGGCCAAGGCCAGAUUGGUGGUGGGUAGGAGAAGCCCGCCCACGGUUGUAUAAACUGAGGCACGGUCAGAUGAGGCGGCUGGUUUCAAGCCACGUGGCUGGCAAGAGAGGAACCUUCUGAUGUCGUGAACUGCCUGGCUCCGGGGUGGGCGCCCAGGAAUGUAGUGAGCUCCCCACCCCCAGGGGCAUUCAAGCGCAUAGGCUGUGCUUAGGAGAAGGUUCUGUAAGGUGGAGGCUGAGCCGGAUGGCUCCAAAAGACCUCCAGAAACCUCCACAUGGGGGUCUGAAGAGUGCCGGUUGGAUCAGGGAGUCAGAUCUCGGGGACUGACUUCGUUCUGGGCCCUUUGCUCUCCUCCACCCUCCACCGAGUCCCCAGCGCAGGGCAGGCGACAGAAAGAAAUGGUUGGAAACUGUCCCCCGCCCCAUAGUGCGGUCAGAAAGACGGCGUGUCCCCGCCAAGAACAUAGUGUGUGCGUGCGUAGGUAUCCUUGUGCGUGCGUGCGUGUCUGCCCACGCCUGCCUUUGCGUGUGCCUGUGAGUGGGCAGGUGUGUGCACGCGCUCGUGCGUGUGUGCCCUGAGUGUGUGCUGCCAUGCGUCCACACGCAUGCCUCGGUGUGUAAAAAUUACCCCGCUUCCGUCACCCCUGUCAGGAUCACCCGGGGCCUCUGCUGGGAUCCAAGGACCCCGCAACUCCCCGGGAUGAGACUGGGAGGACCCUGCUUAAGAGUCAGGACCCUGGAGCCACCCUGGUUCAAAUCCUGGCUUUGCUCCUGUCUGUUGGGGUUCAAACCAGUGGCUCUGGCUAGGUGGCCCCUAAACCUUAGUUCCUCGCUGGUGAGCCGGGGUGUUAUCUGCGUGCACACACCAGGCUGUUGCCAAAGUUCGGUGAUGUCUGUCUACAAGGGCCACCAUCCUUCUCCCUAGGCUGGCGUCCUAAAGACAUUUGCCUGCACAGGGCCCUGAUGGCUGCAGGGAGGGUGGCACAGCACCAGAUGCCUGGGGCAGGUACGGACAUGCUCCUCAGGGCUCAGAGACAUCCGGCUCCCAGCAUCUUCCAGCAGAGUCCUGGCCCACUACCAAGCUGCCGCGUGCCUGUCACCCUGCCGUGGAGGGGAGAGAGAAACAGCCAGAGGAACAGACAAAAAGUGGAGACAAGAAAGACAGAAAGAGAAGGAACACACUCUCAACAGCUCAAGGUGAGCUAUGUUGGGAAGUGGUCCGAGCGUGGCCUCCCAGAACCCACCUGCUGUCCCUGGCCAGCUGAAUGACCCCUUGGAGGGACUCCUUGCUCUGAACCUUCAUCUCGUCCGCAGCCUGAGGAUGGAGGGACGCUGCAGAGCACUAUGGGGAAGUGUGUGUGGGCGCCUCCUCACCAGGUCUGGGUUCCUCCAAAGAUAAUCCUCCAGUAGGUGGGUCCCAGGCUGCCCUGGGAGACCACCCCCAAAAUAUUGGGGAGUGGAGACCAGGAGUUGCUUGCCCUGAACGUGUUUGUUCUUUCUUACUAAUGAAACUCCCAAUUUUUCACCGGGUUCGUGACCUUCCAAAAUAAAGACUCUCUUUCUCAACCUCCCUUGUAGCUAGGUGUAGCCGGGUGACUAAGUUUUGGUCACUGAGAUGUAAGCAGAGAACAGCUGCAAGGAAACCUGUUUGAAACACAGCUGGUAGGUACCCCUGUGCCUCUUCUUCCUCCUUGCUUGCUUCUGGCUGGCCGCAAGGUGAACAUGAUGGCCGGUGCUCAAGCAGCCAUAUUGGGCCAUGAGGAAAAGGUUGUAUACCGAAAGUGGACUGCCUCCCCCUGGACUUCUGUUAUGGCAGUGAGAAAGAACCAUCAAUCUUGUUGAAGCCACUGUUAUUUGACUUCUUUCUCCGUCAAUCUUCAUCCUGACGGAUAAAAUAAGGAACAGGUAAUUUCUCUGAUCUGGUUUCCCUUCUAGAAUAAGGGAAACUGAGCU
Felis catus (domestic cat) is the source of this 7108-nucleotide long non-coding RNA. RefSeq lists it as uncharacterized. The record is from RefSeq and is a predicted model, not a curated record. The transcript is spliced from 3 exons. NCBI's taxonomy places the organism in Eukaryota, Metazoa, Chordata, Mammalia, Carnivora, Felidae.